Molecule: long non-coding RNA, 884 nt
Organism: Rattus rattus (black rat)
Lineage: Eukaryota; Metazoa; Chordata; Mammalia; Rodentia; Muridae
Exons: 4
Source: RefSeq, a predicted model, not a curated record
UCUCACACACGCAGAGGCACAGGGGGGAAAGAAGCCGGUGAAUAAUUUUGCUACUAUUUUUUAAAAUACUGGCCGCCAUCAUCAUCAAGCAACCAGCAGCAGCCAGCUCAAAGGGAGAGGAGGCAUGGGGCAGGGCCCUGUAGGAGAGGAUUUAUAUCUAGUUGAAAAAAAAAAAGAAAAGAAAAGAAAGAAAAGAAAAAGAAAAAAAAAUUGUCAAGCCCCCGAACUGAAGGUUACGAGCGGCCAGUCAGCAGCCCACAUGUAACCGAACUGUCGAGUUUCAUGGCUUUUUGCCACUCCAGCUGUCAAUCAAAGCCCGGAAUGUCAAGGUAGUGAAUGAAUGAUGGUUGAUGAUGAUGAAGAGGAGCAAUCUUUCAGACCCGUUUUUUUUUCUUCCAGUAAAACUCCGCGAGGGGUUUCUGCUUCUUGAAUUUUUCCUCCCCCCUCCCCCCUCCUUUAGCUUUGCCCCCAAAACAGCUCUAAUAUGAUCCUCUCUUUUUAAAGUAUUGUUCAAAGAAAGCAAGGAGAAAACCAAGAAAAAAUGAAUAGUUUGCAAAAAUUGGACUUCCUCUCCCCCCCCCUCCUCUGAAGAACUUCAAGAUUACAAAUAUCCGUCUCAUUUGAUGCUGAGUUACUCGUCGACGGAUAAGAAAAGGAACGCCAGUUUCCGAGAUAAAUGCUUCUUUUGUCAAGAACAACUUCGUGAGAAGACUCCGCGUCUUCCUCUAAGCAUGCUUAGCGCUUUAUUCCCACACCGCUACGGCGUCCCCCCCCCCGCCCCCUUGAUAUUGUAAAGCGAUUUAGUUUCCCUGUAGCCUUUAUUUAGUAAAACUUCUUAGCAUUAAAAAAAAACAGCAGUAAUAAAGUUUCUCCCUGAGUAAAAA